CCUACGGGAGGCAGCAGUGGGGAAUUUUGGACAAUGGGCGCAAGCCUGAUCCAGCAAUGCCGCGUGAGUGAAGAAGGCCUUCGGGUUGUAAAGCUCUUUUGUCAGGGAAGAAACGGUGGGGGCUAAUAUCUCCUACUAAUGACGGUACCUGAAGAAUAAGCACCGGCUAACUACGUGCCAGCAGCCGCGGUAAUACGUAGGGUGCAAGCGUUAAUCGGAAUUACUGGGCGUAAAGCGUGCGCAGGCGGUUUUGUAAGUCUGUCGUGAAAGCCCCGGGCUCAACCUGGGAAUUGCGAUGGAGACUGCAAGGCUUGAAUCUGGCAGAGGGGGGUAGAAUUCCACGUGUAGCAGUGAAAUGCGUAGAGAUGUGGAGGAACACCGAUGGCGAAGGCAGCCCCCUGGGUCAAGAUUGACGCUCAUGCACGAAAGCGUGGGGAGCAAACAGGAUUAGAUACCCUGGUAGUCCACGCCCUAAACGAUGUCUACUAGUUGUCGGGUUUUAAUACUUGGUAACGCAGCUAACGGNGUGAGUAGACCGCGUGGGAGUACGGUCGCAAGAUUAAACGUAAAGAUUAGACGCGUAGAGAGNGACGACGACGACGACGAGGGAGUUAGG
RNAcentral lists this ribosomal RNA (616 nucleotides) under uncultured bacterium. Its description in RNAcentral is "bacterial SSU rRNA". It matches the Rfam family "Bacterial small subunit ribosomal RNA", at positions 338 to 1415 of the family's 1533-position model. The record is from RNAcentral.